RNAcentral lists this ribosomal RNA (603 nucleotides) under uncultured fungus. RNAcentral describes it as "eukaryotic LSU rRNA". It matches the Rfam family "Eukaryotic large subunit ribosomal RNA", at positions 23 to 641 of the family's 3401-position model. The record is from RNAcentral. Lineage: Eukaryota; Fungi.
ACCCGCUGAACUUAAGCAUAUCAAUAAGCGGAGGAAAAGAAACCAACAGGGAUUGCCCUAGUAACGGCGAGUGAAGCGGCAACAGCUCAAAUUUGAAAUCUGGCGUCUUUGGCGUCCGAGUUGUAAUUUGCAGAGGGCGCUUUGGCAUUGGCAGCGGUCCAAGUUCCUUGGAACAGGACGUCACAGAGGGUGAGAAUCCCGUACGUGGUCGCUAGCCUUUACCGUGUAAAGCCCCUUCGACGAGUCGAGUUGUUUGGGAAUGCAGCUCUAAAUGGGAGGUAAAUUUCUUCCAAAGCUAAAUACUGGCCAGAGACCGAUAGCGCACAAGUAGAGUGAUCGAAAGAUGAAAAGCACUUUGGAAAGAGAGUUAAAAAGCACGUGAAAUUGUUGAAAGGGAAGCGCUUGCAGCCAGACUUGCCUGUAGUUGCUCAUCCGGGUUUUUACCCGGUGCACUCUUCUAUAGGCAGGCCAGCAUCAGUUUGGGCGGUUGGAUAAAGGUCUCUGUCAUGUACCUCUCUUCGGGGAGAACUUAUAGGGGAGACGACAUGCAACCAGCCCGGACUGAGGUCCGCGCAUCUGCUAGGAUGCUGGCGUAAUGGCUGU